This 840-nucleotide long non-coding RNA is filed under the name Ananas comosus (pineapple). Its description in RNAcentral is "long non-coding RNA (ACOM_LNC038488)". Lineage: Eukaryota; Viridiplantae; Streptophyta; Magnoliopsida; Poales; Bromeliaceae. The record is from RNAcentral.
AUCUCUUUAGUAGGGAUGUCAAUGGAUCAGAUUCGAGGUAGAUUUUCAAAAAUUCGAACCCAAAUCCGACUCCAAACCUGAAACCCGAACCCGAACCCGACGAAUUUUAAAAAUCCAUAUCCAAACCCGAACCUACCAAAAAUUCGAAACCCAAAUCUGAAUCCGAAUCCGAAACAAUUAUUUCUAUUUUCAAUAUAUCAAAAUAUUACAUUAAAUCUAAAUUUUUAAAAUAUAAAUUCAAAUAUUUCAUCAAAUUUUUAUAUGCAUAUUAUAUAUAAUGUAAAAUAAAUUCGGGUUCGGGUCGGGUUUGGGUUCGGGUCGGGUACAGUCACAAUCCAUAUCCAAAUCCAUAUCCGUCGAAUUUUUGUUUUCGAUAACCGUAUCCGAAACCAUAUCCAUUUAGCAUCGCCGUUCGGAUUCGGAUUUGAGUUCGGAUAAAAUUUCGGAUAUCCAUACCCAUUGACAUCCCUACUCUUUGCCUCUUCUAUCCAUCUUUUGUCUUAUUUUAUAUUCCUACAAAUUUACAUUACAUCAGACGUCAUUAAAAAUAGUUAAUUUUGAGACCACUUGAAUACUAGUUAAUUGAUACCAAAAAAUUAUGAAAUUUGAAACUUGCAAAGUUCAAAUAGUAAUAAAGUGUAAUAUGGCCAAUUGUCGAUUCAGAAUGUCUAUCCCAUCGUCAAAAUUGAUGUAGUGCUAGAAAAUUCUGGGUCUAACCGAAAGCCACAUAAGCCCAAGAAUAUGACAUGCCUAAUAGAACUUAUGGAACUUAAAAGCUUAACUUUAUGGUUUAAUGGUACCGAUUGUCGAUUAAGAUAUCCCAAUUGUUAGAAAGAAUAU